GGGAGCCACCACUUACGGGAAAUGCUCUGUUGAGGAGAAAGGGUGGCGGGUUGUUUGGCCCACCCUGGCCCUGGCCCAGACAGACUCAGGAAGCCUGUGCCACUAUGUCACCUGGGCUUGGUUCCUCCCAGGGGCAGCAGCUGUCUGCUGAGAGAGAGCUCCCGAAGAAGAGGCCUGGGGCACACAUCCAUCUUCUCCUCCAAUUUACAAUAAAAAAGAAAAAGCCUUUUAGAAAGCAUGUUAAUGCCUCUUGAGAGGCAGUCAAGUGCCAUGGCUAAGAGCCUGGAGUCGAGGAGGCUCAUGUCCACUGAUAAUCAGCUGAGAGAUCUCGGAUCCAGCCUCAGGACAGGCCCUCUUUCCAUGGUUGAUGAAUGAACGAUGAACGAGUCUGUGGUCCAGCGGUCCUUGUCCACUUCUCCUCAGCUCCCCCUUGCUCUAGAGGACAAGAUUCCAUCCCCACCUAAACGUGGCACGGCCUCCUUCCUCCGGGCCCAGGAGCUCUCAACCCAGCUGCACACUGGAAUCCCCUGGAAGCUUUUCCACGAGACCUGCACAAGGCCCCACCCCUGAGACUCUGAAUGAAUUUGUCCAAGUGGGACUCAGGCAGCAGCAUUCCUUCAAAGUUCCUCCAGGGUCGCCGGCCAGUUGGAGCGUGAAAGUGUAGAUGAGUGUGCUUUCAAGAGAUACGAAGGCCUACGAACCUCAGGGCAUUGUCAUCACUGUUGGGUGGAACCUGAAACCUGAGAAUGAUUCAGAACUCAUGCAUGAGACGGACGCCAGUGAGUGUAAAGUGAAAUAGCAGAAACGAAUCCGUAAGAUAGAUGAAGUAGAGCGGAAAGGCAGAAUCUGGGUUCGAGGUCCAGCUGGCUUCUGUGAGCUACACCAAUCACUCCGUCCUCGUUCUCCUUGGGCUCCUCUUCUGUAAAAGGGAGAUCAAUCAUCCAUCUCGCAUGGUCAUUUGGAGAUAAUAAUAAUAAAUAAUAAUCUGCAUUGGACCUUU
This 1000-nucleotide long non-coding RNA is filed under the name Equus asinus (donkey). RNAcentral's name for it is "lncRNA (ENSEASG00005023574.1)". Lineage: Eukaryota; Metazoa; Chordata; Mammalia; Perissodactyla; Equidae. The record is from RNAcentral.